Long non-coding RNA from Zea mays, 2882 nucleotides. RefSeq lists it as uncharacterized. NCBI's taxonomy places the organism in Eukaryota, Viridiplantae, Streptophyta, Magnoliopsida, Poales, Poaceae. The transcript has 6 exons. The record is from RefSeq and is a predicted model, not a curated record.
CGAGGGUGUCCAUGCGCGUCAAUGUCAUCCAACGCGAUCCCCUCCCCACUCGCUCCGCCACCAGAGCCAUCACCUCAACUCGAGCCACCCGAUCCAUCACCGCCCUUCCCCACACCCUGCUCCACCAUCCCGCCUUCAACGCUGCCCUUCCCCAGGCGAUCCCCUUCCCCACGCGCUGCGCCACCAUGCCGCCAUCAACGCCAUGCCGACAACCCGAGCCAUCGCCACCCGCCCACCUUCCAUCAACGCCGGCGACAUGCACGAGACGCAACCCUUGUUCCCCAAUUUGGAAACGCUGACAUCAGCGCCUAGCGUUGCAUCAAGGAUUUGGAUACGCCCGCUUGCAUGCGUCGCCCCCUGAUUUCCUCUCUGUUGUCUCCUUAGUCUAUGCGAGCCACAGCCAGUCGUAGCCGCCCCUCACCGCUCGCACUCAACCCCCAUCCGCACGCAGUGGAGCCUGGCGUCACAGAGGCGGGCAAGGGACCCAGGGCAAGGGAAGCGGAGGUGGUCCCCGCUGGGAUCUCGUUCCCGAUGUCAGCGUCUUUGUCCUGACUCUCCCUCCUAUGCUGCCCUAGGAUCAGCGCAAGGGAUGAGGUCGGGCUGGUCGGUGGAGGGGGCGACGGAUGUGUGGGUGGACAGCUUGAAGAAGAAGCACAAGCGUAAGGUGUUGGCGGGGUAGCUAGAAAGAACUGCUGCAGGUUGUUGGCCCCUGCUGUCGCGGCCGUGACAUGGGAUGGGAGGAAGCUUCCCUUCGGUGAGGUAAUCAAGGUGAGCGCCAUCCACGCCGUCGGAGAUAAAUUUUCUAGGAAGACUCUCCCAUCUGAACCUUGUGAAGCUCUUGGAUGGGAGGACUGUGAACUACUUCUCGUGUAUGAGUUCAUGGCCAAAGGGAGCUUGGAAAACCAUCUAUUCAGUGUGCAUGCGAAGAAGAACAUUGCAACAUUGUAGUUCGUGGCUUGGCCACUCAUCGGGUCAGUUAUAUUUUGAAUGGUAACUAGAUUUCUCAACGCAGGAGAUUGGGUUCGUUGCUUCCCCAGCACAGUGGUGUUUUCUGCGGUUGGUGUGGGAUCCAUGGAGAUUUCCUGCCUCUGGAAAUGAAAUACACAUGUGUAGAAUCAAACAACAGUAGAUUUUUAUGAAAUUUAGGAUUGUUCAUGGAGCUGAAUAUGGAUACAUGCAGGUGGCCUUUUUAUAGAGGAAGGAAUGAGUAUUAAUUAAGUUCUAAUUAGUUGCGAGUAGUGUUUUGUCCUAUAGAACUAGGGAGUUUUGCUUCAUGGUAGGUGUUCCUAGGCUGCAAAUUUUGUCUGAUCUUGCAUUGAGAAUAUGAUGGGUGAAGUCUGUGACACGUCGCGUCGCGCCGUCGGUCGAAGCCAGCUCAAUAGUGAGGUUGAGGCCUCACAACUUUCUGCAAAACUACAUGUCAAGUGCUCCACCUUGUCAGAAUUUUAAAGAAACAUUUUGUUGUUUCACCUUGACUUCUUAUUGACAUGGCCUAUUGGAGAGAGAUCUCUGUGUGUUUCUGGUUUCUAAUUGGACAUGUAAAAGUUUAUGAUUAGUUGUUGCAUAAAUGGAUUGGCUAGAAUUUUCAAAGUAUAGGUGCUUGGUGUCUUCUCAUGGUCAUAGGGAAAAUAUCAUAGCUGAUAUUUUCACACAAGUGAAGGAUCCACAAAAGGGAUUUGUUCCCUAUGGAAUGAUCAGGCAUGCUAAACAUCUUAGUUGUCUAACUUAGUUCUUCAGAUAAAUGAUUUGUCCUUUUUUUAAAUGUCAUAUUUUUGCUUCAGGGAACUACUCGUGCCAUUCUAUAAGGCAAAUGGGAGCCGCAAACCAAAUAGGAAAAUUUUCUAUGGAGACAUGCCAGUGAGGAGCAGUUUAGCCGGUUCUUGCAUUAUGAAGUGGAUGCAAUUAGAAAGGCGUGUGCCAGCUUGGAAGAGGGCUACCUUCCUCUAGUUACAUUCAUAGUGGUGCAAAAGCGCCAUCACACACUGUUUUGUCCUGAAGAUCAUCGUUCACACAGACAACCAGAUCGACGUGGAAAUAUUUUGCAAGCCACUCUGGCAUUCAGGUGAGCCGAUGAUAGAUGUUGCGAUUCUCCAGAAAGAAAACAAAUUCUCGUCUCAACACAUAUGGUUUUAAUCAUUUUGCACUUUUGGCAAGGGACGAGCCGGUCAUCACAUUACCAUGGUGGACAUUUGAGAUUUGCAACCUUGUUGUGCAUAGUUUUACACACUAAGCACCCAUUGCACCGAAAAAACUUACAGGAUGAACUAGAUGCAAAACCUGAAGAGCUGGAAGGAGAAGAGUUGGAAUCUAAGCUUCUAGAGCCUGUUGCAGCUCUUUCGGUGCAUCCAGUGCAUGUCCCAGGAAACAAGCAACUAGCUUGCCCUACUUCACAGAAAGUUAUAGCUAAAUACGAUGAGCUGGCUGCACUACAAGCUGAAAUGGCAUUGUGAUCAGGACACUUUGGAGACAAUAGUUCUUAUGGCGCAGUCAGGCUAGCAGGCUGCCAUCUGAGUUUGAAAUUACCGAUUGCUGCCAUCCUUGUGAUCCAGACAAGGAAAAUGUUCUUGCUAUUUAAGUUAUGAGGUGGAGUGAUGGCUCUUAUCUUGAAGAUCAGGAUCACUGGCGGUUGGGUUACUCCUUGAUUCUUACAUGGAUUAACGCAUGGACCGAGGAAGCGCAAUGACAAGCCUAAUAGCCUGCAACUGAUGAAAGGAAUGGUCUCUACUACAUGUAUUAUUGUCCAUCCCAUCUUUGUUUAAUGGUCGUAGCUGCUUUAUACAAUUAUUCCUACCUAUGCUAGACUGUGAGCCAUUGUAUAUCAAUGUAUUUUAUCAUAUUGAUUUCGUAGCAACGUACGAGCAUAUACCUAGUAUAUUUAUAAA